GUGCCCUCUUCAGCAGCACAUAUACUAGAAUUGGAACGAUACAGAGAAGAUUAGCCUGGCCCCUAUGCAAGAAUGACAUGCAAAUUCAUGAAGCAUUCCAUACUUUA
This 107-nucleotide small nuclear RNA is filed under the name Sciurus vulgaris (Eurasian red squirrel). The record is from RNAcentral. Lineage: Eukaryota; Metazoa; Chordata; Mammalia; Rodentia; Sciuridae.